This 351-nucleotide unclassified non-coding RNA is filed under the name soil metagenome. RNAcentral's name for it is "partial contains 5.8S ribosomal RNA, internal transcribed spacer 2, and large subunit ribosomal RNA". The stretch from base 1 to 119 matches the Rfam family "5.8S ribosomal RNA", at positions 36 to 154 of the family's 154-position model. The record is from RNAcentral.
AUGAAGAACGUAGUGAAAUGCGAUAAGUAAUGUGAAUUGCAGAAUUCAGUGAAUCAUCGAAUCUUUGAACGCACAUUGCGCCCGCCAGUAUUCUGGCGGGCAUGCCUGUUCGAGCGUCAUUACAACCCUCAGGCCCCCGGGCCUGGCGUUGGGGAUCGGCGGAGCCCCCCGUGGGCACACGCCGUCCCCCAAAUACAGUGGCGGUCCCGCCGCAGCUUCCAUCGCGUAGUAGCUAACACCUCGCGACUGGAGAGCGGCGCGGCCACGCCGUAAAACACCCAACUCUUCUGAAGUUGACCUCGAAUCAGGUAGGAAUACCCGCUGAACUUAAGCAUAUCAAUAAGCGGAGGA